UACGGAGGGAGCUAGCGUUGUUCGGAUAUACUGGGCGUAAAGCGCACGUAGGCGGCGCCGUAAGUCAGGGGUGAAAUCCCGGAGCUCAACUCCGGAACUGCCCUUGAAACUGCAGUGCUAGAAUCCUGGAGAGGCGAGUGGAAUUCCGAGUGUAGAGGUGAAAUUCGUAGAUAUUCGCAAGAACACCAGUGGCGAAGGCGGCUCACUGGCCCGGUACUGACGCUGAGGUGCGAAAGCGUGGGGAGCAAACAGG
Molecule: ribosomal RNA, 253 nt
Filed under: uncultured bacterium
Lineage: Bacteria
Description: partial 16S ribosomal RNA
Rfam family: Bacterial small subunit ribosomal RNA
Source: RNAcentral